UGGGGCUGUAGUUCAGUGGGAGAAUAUUUGUCUGGCAGACAAAGGGUCACGGGUUCGAAUCCCGUCAGCUCCAU
The sequence is a transfer RNA, 74 nucleotides long. It matches the Rfam family "tRNA". Rfam says of the family: Transfer RNA (tRNA) molecules are approximately 80 nucleotides in length. Their secondary structure includes four short double-helical elements and three loops (D, anti-codon, and T loops).